Molecule: long non-coding RNA, 729 nt
Organism: Oreochromis aureus
Lineage: Eukaryota; Metazoa; Chordata; Actinopteri; Cichliformes; Cichlidae
Source: Ensembl
UCAAUCAAAUAUCAAAUGCACGAUUAUGUUUUCACAGUGAAGCUCAGAUAUCCGAGUGCAAGUGAAUGCAGCAUUGGCUUCUGCACUAUGAGCAUCACGUUAGCAAAGGAAGGAGAGCCAAGCACGAAAGACGGUACCGCAGAAAACAAUUUUUCGGUGAAAGAAAAUGAGGGGAGAAUAAAUGUCCCGGGCCAACCAGUAGAGAUAAAAGAAUAGGAAGAAUGAAAAGAUCUCAAAAUAUUGAGAAUUUCUUCCUUAAGAAGGCUAAAAUACAACCAGAAGCAGAGAGCAAUGUCAGGGAAAGGUGGACUGAGCAGCAGUCAUCAUUGUCACCUGUGAGUUCUACAAAUGAAGGCACUUCUUCACCUGUUCAUGAUCAACCAGAUAACCAGGAUGUGGUGCCUUUUGAAACAUCUUCAGUGCUGUUGUUUACAAAUGUUUUUGUACUUCUUGUCUUCCUAACAUGUAACAGACUCUUAUUAAAAGUUCAAGAGGUUUAUUUUUGCACAAUUUGUACUGAAAACAUUAUCAAAAGAAGGUAUAGAAAGUAUUUACUUGCUUUCAGCUUUCAUUCAAAUGUCAGUCUUUUCAUUUGUUUCCCCACUUUUUUCCUGUUUCAAAGUCAAACACCAGUUUGUGAGAAGAUUAUCAUCUUUUUUUAAUAGGCAGAUAAAGUUUUGCAUUGGCAUUGGCAAAUUUGCCAAUUGUAUGUUAAAAAUGUUCGUAUUU